UCCACGCCGUUUGUCUCUCUCAUGGUGAUUUCCACGACACUCUUCAUCAUCUCCAACUUCUCUGCGAUUAAGCUGUCGCCAUCCCUGUGUUUGGGCUUUUACUUGGGGCGUUAUUUGAGAGUUGGUCUUCAAUGUCUUGUCUCCUGUCUCUCGUACCUUUCGAACAAAUCCUAAAACCUCUCGCCAUCCCUCUGCUUCAUUCUAGGGUUUUCUGUUACUCUUUGAUUCAAAGAUGGGAAGGGCGAAGAAGCCUUAGAAGUUUGCUGUCAUGAAGAAAACAAUAAGCCACAAAGCGGAUUGAAGCAUUACAAGGAGGAGUUCUGAAUCCGAACAAGAAAGGCCUCACUGAACUUCCCAGAAACGUACCAAAUGUUCCAUCAGGGAUGUUCUUUUCUCACAACACUAACAUGGUUCCUCCUUACCGAGUUCUGGUGGAUACUAAUUUCAUCAACUUCUCUAUCCAGAACAAGGUACAAACCAAUCCACAGAGCUGUAAUCGAUCUUUGUAGUGUUAUUGUCUUCGUGGAACUUAUUCUAACUACUGUCCUUUGUUUUGCCUUUUUGUUGUAUACAAUAGAUUGAUAUUGAGAAUGGAAUGAUGUUCUGUUUGAACACUUCUCAGAGCUACAGCAAGUUGUUUUCUUAAUAAGCUGUUUUUUCUUUUACUUCCUCCUCUUGCUGCUUCGACACCAUCAGCCAUUAUUGUCAGAGACAUAUUGUAAAUGUCUAAAAGAACUGAGUUUAAAACUCUAGAACUUAAAAAUACAGGUUAAUAUAUAAAAAGAAAGAGACAACCAAAAGGCCAGAUUUUAUUAAAGAAGUUUGGUAUUGAAAAAAAAAGUUUGGUAUUGAAGCUUUGUCUUCUUUUUUUCGUCUCUUUAUUGCUUUUUCUUUCUCAGCUUGGUCGUGAAGGAAAGAGACUCAAUGUAGAGUACUGUCUUUAAAGUUGGGGACUAUAUCUGAGAGAGAGAGAGAGGUUGACUUGGGUCAUGAUCUUGGUUUUUGGAGCGACUCAUCUUUAUACAAUACAUAUGGUAAUCGUGUUGGUAGAUUCUAUUUGGAGAAACCCUUAAUGUGUAGCUCUGACACAACUUGUUGUAGCUCUGAUAUCGAAAAUUCUGCUUUGCUGCUAAACUAAUCUGUGAAUUCGUUGUGCCCUUAAUGUGUUCGAUAGAAGGCCUCUUAGACAUUCUACAACUUAUCUGCUGCUCAUGUUUCUGGUUCCUGGUGUGCCUAUCAUGUAUUUGUCGGGCCGCAAGUACUCAGUGAAAAUAGAGUGUGACUAUAUCUAUGAUUUUGUGGCGGUUUCACGAAUCUGCGAGGCGUUAUCGACAAAUUGGAAUAUCAUAUAAAAAUGUAUUAGCAAGAAGGUCCUCUUGUUUUUCUCUUAUACUGUUCUAAUGGUCACUUUAAGUUUUUGUGUUGUCAACAUUUUUCAAUCUAUUUUCGAGUUUUAAGUUAAAUUUUUUUGUCAGAAUUUACAAACAAAAUAUAUUGUUUAAGCUCUAGAAUUAAAAGCCAAUUCUUUAUCAA
This is a long non-coding RNA of Raphanus sativus (radish), 1533 nucleotides long. RefSeq lists it as uncharacterized. The record is from RefSeq and is a predicted model, not a curated record. NCBI's taxonomy places the organism in Eukaryota, Viridiplantae, Streptophyta, Magnoliopsida, Brassicales, Brassicaceae. The transcript has 5 exons.